UGGGGAAUAUUGCACAAUGGGCGCAAGCCUGAUGCAGCCAUGCCGCGUGUGUGAAGAAGGCCUUCGGGUUGUAAAGCACUUUCAGCGGGGAGGAAGGCGAUAAGGUUAAUAACCUUGUCGAUUGACGUUACCCGCAGAAGAAGCACCGGCUAACUCCGUGCCAGCAGCCGCGGUAAUACGGAGGGUGCAAGCGUUAAUCGGAAUUACUGGGCGUAAAGCGCACGCAGGCGGUCUGUCAAGUCGGAUGUGAAAUCCCCGGGCUCAACCUGGGAACUGCAUUCGAAAAUGGCAGGCUAGAGUCUUGUAGAGGGGGGUAGAAUUCCAGGUGUAGCGGUGAAAUGCGUAGAGAUCUGGAGGAAUACCGGUGGCGAAGGCGGCCCCCUGGACAAAGACUGACGCUCAGGUGCGAAAGCGUGGGGAGCAAACAGG
This 429-nucleotide ribosomal RNA is filed under the name Chloroflexota bacterium. RNAcentral describes it as "Chloroflexi bacterium partial 16S ribosomal RNA". It matches the Rfam family "Bacterial small subunit ribosomal RNA", at positions 355 to 776 of the family's 1533-position model. The record is from RNAcentral. Lineage: Bacteria; Bacillati; Chloroflexota.